GCGAGUGUAGUGUAGGGGUUAUCAUUCAACCUUCCCAUUCUCCAUUGGAAGAGGUUGAGAUCCGAGUUCGAGUCUCGGCACUCGCA
Phyllosticta capitalensis is the source of this 86-nucleotide non-coding RNA. Lineage: Eukaryota; Fungi; Ascomycota; Dothideomycetes; Botryosphaeriales; Phyllostictaceae. The record is from the annotation of a GenBank genome assembly.